Molecule: ribosomal RNA, 602 nt
Filed under: fungal sp. ARIZ L288
Lineage: Eukaryota; Fungi
Description: eukaryotic LSU rRNA
Rfam family: 5.8S ribosomal RNA (bases 287-440)
Source: RNAcentral
GUCUCCGUUGGUGAACCAGCGGAGGGAUCAUUACUGAGUUAUCAAAACUCCAAACCCUUUGUGAACCUUACCAUCGUUGCCUCGGCGUGAGCUACGGCUACCCUGUAACUACCCUGGAGCUACCCUAGAGUUACCCUAUAGCUACCCUGCACUUACCCUGCAGCUACCCUAUAGCUACCCUGGAGCUACCCUGGAGCUACCCUGUAGUCGGCUUCGGCCCGCCGAAGGACCGUUAAACUCUUGUUUUUACCACUGUUUCUCUGAAUUUUAAACNAAAAUUAGUUAAAACUUUCAACAACGGAUCUCUUGGUUCUGGCAUCGAUGAAGAACGCAGCGAAAUGCGAUAAGUAAUGUGAAUUGCAGAAUUCAGUGAAUCAUCGAAUCUUUGAACGCACAUUGCGCCCAUUAGUAUUCUAGUGGGCAUGCCUAUUCGAGCGUCAUUUCGACCCCUAAGCCCCUGUUGCUUAGCGUUGGGAAUCUACGGCGUAGUUCCUCAAAGUUAGUGGCGGAGUUAGGGUACACUCUCAGCGUAGUAAUUUCUCUCGCUCGUGUGGUGGCCCUGGCUGCUAGCCGUUAAAACCCCUAUAUUUUCUAGUGGUGAC